Molecule: unclassified non-coding RNA, 437 nt
Filed under: Hevea brasiliensis (rubber tree)
Lineage: Eukaryota; Viridiplantae; Streptophyta; Magnoliopsida; Malpighiales; Euphorbiaceae
Source: RNAcentral
UAUAUAUAUAUAUAUAUAUAUAGUGGUUGAUUGCAACAAUUAUAAGACUGAAAAUUUCUAUAUAAUUGUUCCUUCAAUUAAUUGGUUCUAUAAGCGUAAUAUACCAAGUAGAAGUAGCCAUCCGAAGCUUUCAGUGCCAUGUCCUUGUUAGGGAUAUGUUGCAAUUUGUUAUAUAACGCUUAUUAAAACUUCGGCUUACCAUUCGUAUUCUUCUUCAUCUGUCGACUGACCUGCAAAUAUUCAUCUCACAAGAUCUACAACAAUUCACUGUAACUUAUCAAAGUACCUAUAUUGUCCCACAAUCAAGAUAACAUGGAAUUUAUUAAUCUGCAGUAGAUAAAAAGCUAAUAUGGAACUCGUGAUUACACUAAACUCGUGUGGAGAAAAAAUCUUUAACGUGAUGAUGCUCAUCAUUUUUCAUUUUCACUAGGACUAGA